UACAGAGGUCUCAAGCGUUGUUCGGAUUCAUUGGGCGUAAAGGGUGCGUAGGCGGCGCGGUAAGUCGGGUGUGAAAUCUCGGAGCUUAACUCCGAAACUGCAUUCGAUACUGCCGUGCUUGAGGACUGGAGAGGAGACUGGAAUUCCCGGUGUAGCGGUGAAAUGCGCAGAUAUCGGGAAGAACACCCGUGGCGAAGGCGGUUCUCUGGGACGGUACUGACGCUGAGACGCGAAAGCGUGGGGAGCGAACAGG
RNAcentral lists this ribosomal RNA (253 nucleotides) under uncultured bacterium. RNAcentral's name for it is "partial 16S ribosomal RNA". It matches the Rfam family "Bacterial small subunit ribosomal RNA", at positions 524 to 776 of the family's 1533-position model. The record is from RNAcentral.